AUGGCUAUGCUCACAUGCUCCCAUAAACAUGGCCAUCCCUUCCUCGUUAUGAGCAUAUCCAUCAUCUGUUCCCAAGCACAAUCAAGUUACCAAAAGUAGAGGAACUGAAACAAAGAGGCGGAAGAAAGGGGUCCGUACGAGGAUAUCUUCCGACGAAGAAACUUCAAUUACAAGCUACAGAUAACGAGAGAGACUAUCAAACUUCAUCUCUUUAUCUAUUCACUGUUUUUUCUCUGAUGGAAUUCCAGAAAUCGAGGCCAGAGAGAGAAAGAGAGCACCGAGCGACUAGAGUAUGCGGCAUAUGUAUGUGUGUGUCUGUGUACAUAUAUAUAUAUGCCUGACGAAAAGUCACGUGAUGGUUGGGUGUGGCACGUGACGUAAGCCGCGGGGCCACCAGCUUCGUAUGAUGUUAGAAAUCCGCCGGCGAAGCGAAGAAAACAGUUGGAUUCUCUUGGUCGGUCAAUCAAUAAAUGUUUUAGUAAAUGAAAGAGAUUAAAAUACAUGUUCUGUUCCGAAAGAGGUUUUCGAGAUCUGAUUGUUUAUGACUGAAAUUGCUUUUCAUUGGCUCA
Long non-coding RNA from Tarenaya hassleriana, 569 nucleotides. RefSeq lists it as uncharacterized. The record is from RefSeq and is a predicted model, not a curated record. The transcript has 2 exons. NCBI's taxonomy places the organism in Eukaryota, Viridiplantae, Streptophyta, Magnoliopsida, Brassicales, Cleomaceae.